RNAcentral lists this ribosomal RNA (483 nucleotides) under uncultured bacterium. Its description in RNAcentral is "partial 16S ribosomal RNA". It matches the Rfam family "Bacterial small subunit ribosomal RNA", at positions 30 to 506 of the family's 1533-position model. The record is from RNAcentral.
AUUGAACGCUGGCGGCAGGCCUAACACAUGCAAGUCGAGCGGAUGAAGGGAGCUUGCUCCUGGAUUCAGCGGCGGACGGGUGAGUAAUGCCUAGGAAUCUGCCUGGUAGUGGGGGAUAACGUCCGGAAACGGGCGCUAAUACCGCAUACGUCCUGAGGGAGAAAGUGGGGGAUCUUCGGACCUCACGCUAUCAGAUGAGCCUAGGUCGGAUUAGCUAGUUGGUGGGGUAAAGGCCUACCAAGGCGACGAUCCGUAACUGGUCUGAGAGGAUAAUCAGUCACACUGGAACUGAGACACGGUCCAGACUCCUACGGGAGGCAGCAGCGGGGAAUAUUGGACAAUGGGCGAAAGCCUGAUCCAGCCAUGCCGCGUGUGUGAAGAAGGUCUUCGGAUUGUAAAGCACUUUAAGUUGGGAGGAAGGGCAGUAAGUUAAUACCUUGCUGUUUUGACGUUACCAACAGAAUAAGCACCGGCUAACUUCGU